Molecule: long non-coding RNA, 368 nt
Filed under: Heterocephalus glaber (naked mole-rat)
Lineage: Eukaryota; Metazoa; Chordata; Mammalia; Rodentia; Bathyergidae
Description: lncRNA (ENSHGLG00100037168.1)
Source: RNAcentral
CUCAAGGAUCACCUCUCGGAAGCCACUUUUCCCCUGUACUACCUUAUCUAAAAUACCUCCACCUUCCAUCCCACUCUGUCUCCUCACUACGCUGUCUUCAGAGCACAUACCUUCUGACAUUCUACAUGAACUCACUGGCUUGGUUCGUUUGGUUUCUUCACUGGAAUUAAAGUGCCACAAGAACAGGCUUCAGGAUGAAAACCUCCUGUCCUCUAGACUCCUAACAAUGCUCUUCAUAAGACAUGAGUCUGAACACAUGGCACCUGACUGCUUUUCUUAAAACCUGUGCCUUCAGAAUAAAGUCCAGAUUCCCUCCUUCACAAAGAAUAUGCUUUUAGAAUUCAGCAAUAAAAUGUAAAAUGGAUUGC